AGAGAGAGAGGAAGGGAAGCAGGCUUCCCGCUGAGCAGAGAGCCUGAUGCAGGACUCAAUCCCAGGACCCUGAGAUCAUGACCUGAGCUGAAGGCAGUGGCUUAACCCACUGAGCCACCCAAAUGCCCCUCAGCUGACAAUUUAAAAGUCAUGUGUCACCAGCCCCAGCUGAAUUAGGCAGAGCAGGACACUGGUCCCUUAUAAAGUCUUCCUUCCACCUGCUGUUCCCACAGUCUCUGUGACUGUUACAGAACGCAUCAUAUUAGACAACAAUCAUCUGUUUGCUGUCUAUUUUCUCAAGCAGACCGCGAGCUCUUGGUGUCAGCAGCUCGGAUUUACUCAUCUCUGAAUUUCUGGGAGGUACCACAGCACAUGGGUCCCACAAAGGAC
Molecule: long non-coding RNA, 390 nt
Filed under: Mustela putorius furo (domestic ferret)
Lineage: Eukaryota; Metazoa; Chordata; Mammalia; Carnivora; Mustelidae
Description: lncRNA (ENSMPUG00000025131.1)
Source: RNAcentral